RNAcentral lists this unclassified non-coding RNA (294 nucleotides) under Mycoplasma buteonis. RNAcentral's name for it is "16S-23S ribosomal RNA intergenic spacer". Lineage: Bacteria; Bacillati; Mycoplasmatota; Mollicutes; Mycoplasmatales; Mycoplasmataceae. The record is from RNAcentral.
CUACGGAGUACAACGACUUAUAUAAUAAGUCACUUACCAGACUAUUAUUAUUUUAAAUAUUAAGUAAUUGUUAUGUACUAUGUUAAUAGUCCAUAGAUAUAUCUAGUUUUGAGAGAACUUUCUCUCUUAGUUCUUUGAAAACUGAAUAGUAAAGAUAUUACAACGACAUCAAAUUAAAUAAAUUAAAUUUUUGGUUAAUUUGUUUUGAUUGAUACCGAGUAAUUAUUACAUUAUGUAAUAAUUUAUUGAAAUGUCUUUGAAUAUACAUCAACAAUAGGACAUACUUAAAAUUAA